GACGAACGCUGGCGGCGUGCUUAACACAUGCAAGUCGAACGGAAAGGCCCUGCUUUUGUGGCGUGCUCGAGUGGCGAACGGGUGUGUAACACGUGAGUAACCUGCCCUUGACUUUGGGAUAACUUCAGGAAACUGGGGCUAAUACCGGAUAGGAGCUCCUGCUGCAUGGUGGGGGUUGGAAAGUUUCGGCGGUUGGGGAUGGACUCGCGGCUUAUCAGCUUGUUGGUGGGGUAGUGGCUUACCAAGGCUUUGACGGGUAGCCGGCCUGAGAGGGUGACCGGCCACAUUGGGACUGAGAGACGGACCAGUCUCCUAUGGGCCGCAGUAGUCGGGAAUAUUGCACAAUGGGCGGAAGCCUGAGGUGGCAACGCCGCGUGCGGGAUGACGGCCUUCGGGUUGUAAACCGCUUUCGCCUGUGCCGAACCGUGAGUGACGGUAAUGAGUAAAGAAGCACCGGCUAACUACGUG
This 468-nucleotide ribosomal RNA is filed under the name uncultured bacterium. RNAcentral describes it as "partial 16S ribosomal RNA". It matches the Rfam family "Bacterial small subunit ribosomal RNA", at positions 28 to 507 of the family's 1533-position model. The record is from RNAcentral.